RNAcentral lists this non-coding RNA (116 nucleotides) under Microbispora sp. ATCC PTA-5024. RNAcentral's name for it is "SAM (S-adenosyl methionine) riboswitch aptamer". It matches the Rfam family "SAM (S-adenosyl methionine) riboswitch aptamer". From Rfam's summary of the family: SAM-IV is a mRNA element that regulates gene expression via direct sensing of S-adenosylmethionine (SAM or AdoMet). SAM-IV riboswitches share conserved nucleotide positions with the previously described SAM-I riboswitches sequence analysis and molecular recognition experiments suggest that SAM-I and SAM-IV riboswitches share similar ligand binding sites, but have different scaffolds. The record is from Rfam by way of RNAcentral. Lineage: Bacteria; Bacillati; Actinomycetota; Actinomycetes; Streptosporangiales; Streptosporangiaceae. RNAcentral also lists the same sequence under 1 other name.
GGUUAUGAGUGCCAGCGUCAAGCCCCGGCUCGCUGGCCGGCAACCCUCGCGCUCGCGGCGGGGUGCCCCGGGUGAUGACCGGGCUCGGCACGAGGGGUGCCGGGCAAGCGCGGGCU